AUGAGUUGCGCAUUUGCAAACAAAGCCCCCUAUGCUAAACUAAUUAUUUAUGUAAAUUAUAGGCUUUGUACUUAAGUCGCGUUCCAAUGGUGACACAGAGGCGCGCGCGCGCUGAUGUUUGGUUCACUGUAUUUUAUUUGGUAAAGUGCCAACUGUGCUGUCAAGUUAGCAAUGCUGGAACUGAUAUGGUGUGUGUGUGUGUGUGUGUGUGUGUGCACUGUAAAAAAUCCAAUUAACCAAAUGUUGGAAGGCCAAAAAUAUUUAAGUUGAACUAAUUUUAUUGCUUGGGCUUAGUUGAGAAGACUUAUAUUAAGUAUGCACAAAUAUAUUUAAAAAACAUUAAAUGAAUGGUUAUUUUCAAAUCCAGUCAACAUUCAGAAAGCUAAAUGUUGACUAAACUAAUAAAAACAAAUCCAGCCAAAACUGAGAUCAUUCUGCACGUGCCUGAGUGACUUCGCGGGAGAAACAGCGCCGCCACCUUGUCAAGUUCACGCGUCAGGGUGUGGCCAAAGGUUUCAUUGGUGCUUUGUCGUCAUUGCAAGAUUUCAGAUGCAACCCAGUCAGUUCUUCCAAGGCACCAAACACUGGCUCGUGACCAGACUGCUCCACUGCAAUUACAUAUUGUUUGUGUACUUUCAAGACUAGGAGUUUAUUUUUUUUCAUUCCAGCCACCCAGUUAGUAUCCAGAUCAGAUGGUUACUGUAGUCACCCAGAUCCAGUCCGUAUCCAGAUCAGAUGGUGGAUCAGCACCUAGAGAAGACCUCUACAGCCAAUAAUGCUCAUCAGCUAGAUGAGCUCCAAAGACAGAUCCCCUCCGAAGACCUCGUUGGCCAUCGGGACAAGACCAAGAGAACCAGACAAGUCCUCUGCUCAAUCUGACCUGUGUUGCAGCCUAUAAUUAAACCACGCCAUUCUAGUUUCAUCUGGCCAGAGGAGAACUGCCCCCCGACUGAGCCUGGUUGCUCCCAAGGUUUUCUACUCAAUUUCUGUCACCGAUGGAGUCUUGGGUCCUUUCCGCUGUCGCCUUUGGUUUGCUUAUUUGGGGAUGCUUGGCUGAUUGCACAGACAUUACUGGAAGAGAGCUGAACUGGAUCAUGUCAACACUGAAUCACCAUUGAACUGACUUUAACUGAAAAAAUGACUUGUUAAUGUCUUCUUGCAUUAUUGACAUUUAUUUCAUAAUGAUAUUUCCCCCCAUUUUAAAUUCUUAUUAUCCAAUGAAAGGUUAGAUUUUUUUAUUUUUUUUAAAUAAGAUCAAUAUAUACAUACAUACACACACACAC
Long non-coding RNA from Onychostoma macrolepis, 1283 nucleotides. RefSeq lists it as uncharacterized. The record is from RefSeq and is a predicted model, not a curated record. The transcript has 3 exons. NCBI's taxonomy places the organism in Eukaryota, Metazoa, Chordata, Actinopteri, Cypriniformes, Cyprinidae.